RNAcentral lists this ribosomal RNA (432 nucleotides) under uncultured bacterium. RNAcentral's name for it is "partial 16S ribosomal RNA". It matches the Rfam family "Bacterial small subunit ribosomal RNA", at positions 29 to 506 of the family's 1533-position model. The record is from RNAcentral.
AACGAACGCUGGCGGCAUGCCUAACACAUGCAAGUCGAACGAGACCUUCGGGUCUAGUGGCGCACGGGUGCGUAACGCGUGGGAACCUGCCCUUAGGUUCGGAAUAACUCCCCGAAAGGGGUGCUAAUACCGGAUAAUGUCUUCGGACCAAAGAUUUAUCGCCUUUGGAUGGGCCCGCGUUGGAUUAGCUAGUUGGUAGGGUAAAAGCCUACCAAGGCGACGAUCCAUAGCUGGUCUGAGAGGAUGAUCAGCCACACUGGGACUGAGACACGGCCCAGACUCCUACGGGAGGCAGCAGUGGGGAAUAUUGGAAAAGGGGCGAAAGCCGGAUCCAGCAAGGCCGGGGGAGUGAUGAAGGCUUUAGGGUUGUAAAGCUCUUUUACCCGGGAUGAUAAUGACAGUACCGGGAAAAAAAGCCCCGGCUAACUCCGU